Molecule: ribosomal RNA, 1919 nt
Filed under: marine metagenome
Description: bacterial LSU rRNA
Rfam family: Archaeal large subunit ribosomal RNA
Source: RNAcentral
GCGUUUAGGGGGAGCGAUCCCUCGGCGUGCUGCCAAACUCCGAAGGUGUAAUCGUUGAAGAAACGAGCAGUGAGUGAUGGUGGGUAAGCUACCAUUACGCAAGGUGAACAAACCAGCCUGAAGUUAAGGUCCCUAAAUAUCAGUUAAGUGUCACAGACAAACCGUGUCCGUGGUCGAAAACAACCAGAAGGUGGGCUUAGAAGCAGCCAUCCUUGAAAGAGUUCGUAACAGAUCACUGGUCUAGCUUGCGGGCCGGGAAAAGGGACGGGGCUCAAACUGAUUACCGAUACUUCAGACCAUCGAAAGAUGAUGUGGUAACGCGGCGUCGUGCAUGGGCGGAAGGUAGGCUUUGAGGUCUACUGGACCGUGUACGAAUGAGAGUCUUGGGAAGAGUAGCAGCACAGUGUGGUGAGAAUCCGCACCGCCUUAUAAACCAGGGUUCCUCGGCACUGUUUAUCAGCCGAGGGUUAGCCGGUCCUAAGGUCAUUCUUAACCGAAAUGAUCGAAAGGGAAUGGCGUUAAUAUUCGUCAGCCCCCUACACCACGUAUGGUGACGGCUUGGGCAAAGUCAUUGGAUCAUAUGCCAGGUCCACUGAUAACUAAUUUCUGGAGAACUGUCAUAGUGAGAAGGAAAGAAAGUCCCAGGUCCCAUGAAAAGCCGUGUAGGGUGACCGUACCGAGAACUGAAACAGGUGUUUUUGGGUGAGUAGCCUAAGGCGUAUCGGAUACAAAUAUCGCGAGGGAACUCGGCAAAAUAGCUCCGUAACUUCGGGAGAAGGAGUGCCAGAUUGGGAACAAUCUGGUCGCAGUGACUAGGGAGCUCCGACUGUUUAAUAAAAACAUAGGGGACUGCCAGAUCGAAAGGUUGUGUAUAGUCCCUGAAUCCUGCUCAGUGCUGGUAUCUUAAAUCGGGUUUCAACCUGACGAAGGACCAGUAAACAGCGGGGGUAACUAUGACCCUCUUAAGGUAGCGUAAUACCUUGUCGCUUAAUUGGCGACUUGCAUGAAUGGUCCAACGAGGGCUCCACUGUCCCCGCGAUAUGUCCGGCGAAAUUGACUUUACUGGCGCACAGUCCAGUACAUUCUACCCGCAAGCGAAGACCCCAUAGAGCUUUACUGCAGCCUGUCGUUGCAUAGUCGCUUUCCAUGUACUGUGUAGGUGGGAGACGUUGAUCCCUGGGACGCCAGUCCCGGGGGGAGUCGAAAGAAGAGACACCACCCUUGGAAGGUAACUAUGCUAACUCUUUACGAGGACACCGAUUGGUGGGCAGUUUGGGUGGGGCGCCACGCGCUCGAAAACCUAACAAGCGUGCCCAAAGGUCAGCUUAGGUGGUUCAGCACUCCACCGAUAACUGUAAGGGGAAAAGCUGGCUUGACGUGGAUCUGCACAAUGAGGAUCGACGAUGCGAAAGCAGGGCCUAACGAACCUACCAGCCUUAUUUCUGAGGGCGGUAGAUAACAGAAAAGUUACCUUGGGGAUAAUUGAGUUGUCACCAGCAAGAGCUCACAUCGACCUGGUGGCUUGCUACUUCGAUGUCGUCUCUUCCUAUCCUGGGUCUGCAGCAGGACCCAAGGGUGGGGUUGUUCGCCCAUUAAAAGGGAUCGUGAGAUGGGUUUAGACCGUCGUGAGACAGGUUUGUUGCUUGGUGGUAGAAUCGCGUAAGGUGUCUGAUGGAAGGGGCCCUUUAGUACGAGAGGAACGAGGGCUCGGGGCCACUAGUUUACCAGUUGUCUGGCAAGGCAAUGCUGGGUAGCCACGCCCUGAAGGAUAAGAGCUGAAAGCAUCUAAGCUCGAAGCCACCCCAAAGACGAGACACCUCAGAACGCUCGUAAAAGACGAGAUGAUAGACUGCGGAUGUAAGUACGAAGCUACGGCGACGUAUUCAGUCCAGCAGCACUAAUGUUCGAGCAUCUUUUUU